Stegodyphus mimosarum is the source of this 72-nucleotide non-coding RNA. Lineage: Eukaryota; Metazoa; Arthropoda; Arachnida; Araneae; Eresidae. The record is from Rfam.
GCCUUCGUGGUGCAGUGGUCAGCAUGCUCGGCUCGUAUUCCAGAGGUCCGUGGUUCGAAUCCCGGCGAGGCA